GUCUACGGCCAUACCACCCUGAACGCUCCUGAUCUCGUCUGAUCUCAGAAGCUAAGCAGGGUCAGGCCUGGUUAGUACUUGGAUAGGAGAAAUACAUGUUGUGUAAACA
This is a ribosomal RNA of Dipodomys ordii (Ord's kangaroo rat), 109 nucleotides long. Lineage: Eukaryota; Metazoa; Chordata; Mammalia; Rodentia; Heteromyidae. The record is from Ensembl.